Molecule: unclassified non-coding RNA, 310 nt
Filed under: plant metagenome
Description: partial contains 5.8S ribosomal RNA, internal transcribed spacer 2, and large subunit ribosomal RNA
Rfam family: 5.8S ribosomal RNA (bases 1-105)
Source: RNAcentral
GAAAUGAGAUAAGUAGUGUGAAUUGCAGAAUUCAGUGAAUCAUCGAAUCUUUGAACGCACAUUGCGCCCCUUGGUAUUCCAUGGGGCAUGCCUGUUCGAGCGUCAUUUGUACCCUCAAGCUCUGCUUGGUGUUGGGUGUUUGUCCGCGUCUCCGCGCGUGGACUCGCCCCAAAGUGAUUGGCAGCCGGCGUACUGGUCCCGGAGCGCAGCACAUGUCGCGCAAACGAGUGCCUUGGUACGGCGGCGUCCAUAAGCCCCUCUCUCACGCUCUUGACCUCGGAUCAGGUAGGGAUACCCGCUGAACUUAAGC